UGGCAGACCAUUAAUAGAGACCACGGUGUGCGGUGGCUGCAAACAGCCCCGGGCACUGCACACAACCCGCUGUUUGUGCAGAUUGGCCUUGGGGACCACGGAGACAGCC
Molecule: small nucleolar RNA, 109 nt
Filed under: Tupaia belangeri chinensis (Chinese tree shrew)
Lineage: Eukaryota; Metazoa; Chordata; Mammalia; Scandentia; Tupaiidae
Description: Tupaia chinensis (Chinese tree shrew) Small nucleolar RNA SNORA70
Rfam family: Small nucleolar RNA SNORA70
About the family: snoRNA U70 seems to be exclusive to mammals and is a member of the H/ACA class of snoRNA which contain H (ANANNA) and ACA box motifs. H/ACA box snoRNAs are involved in the conversion of uridines to pseudouridines (5-ribosyluracil) a constituent of structural RNAs (transfer, ribosomal, small nuclear, and small nucleolar).
Source: Rfam by way of RNAcentral